CCAAUAGCGUAUAUUAAAGUUGUUGCAGUUAAAAAGCUCGUAGUUGAAUUUCGGGAUCAAUAUAUCGGUCGUGCCUUUGGUAUGCACUGGUAUCAUUGAUUUCUACCUUCUGACGAAUCAUGAUGUCAUUAAUUUGGUGUCAUGGGGAAUCAGGACUGUUACUUUGAAAAAAUUAGAGUGUUUAAAGCAGGCACACGCUUGAAUACAUUAGCAUGGAAUAAUGAAAUAGGACGUUUGAUCUUAUUUUGUUGGUUUCUAGGAUCGACGUAAUGAUUAAUAGGGAUAGUUGGGGGCAUUAGUAUUCAAUUGUCAGAGGUGAAAUUCUUGGAUUUAUUGAAGACUAACUACUGCGAAAGCAUUUGCCAAGGAUGUUUUCAUUAAUCAAGAACGAAAGUUAGGGGAUCGAAGACGAUCAGAUACCGUCGUAGUCUUAACCAUAAACUAUGCCGACUAGGGAUCGGAUGAUGUUAAUUUUUUAAUGACUCAUUCGGCGCCUUACG
Molecule: ribosomal RNA, 500 nt
Filed under: uncultured Glomeromycotina
Lineage: Eukaryota; Fungi; Glomeromycota
Description: partial small subunit ribosomal RNA
Rfam family: Eukaryotic small subunit ribosomal RNA
Source: RNAcentral